UGGGGAAUAUUGGACAAUGGGGGGAACCCUGAUCCAGCCAUGCCGCGUGUGUGAAGAAGGCCUUAUGGUUGUAAAGCACUUUAAGCGAGGAGGAGGGUACUGGUAUUAAUACUACCAGCUACUGGACGUUACUCGCAGAAUAAGCACCGGCUAACUCUGUGCCAGCAGCCGCGGUAAUACAGAGGGUGCGAGCGUUAAUCGGAUUUACUGGGCGUAAAGCGUGCGUAGGCGGCUAAUUGAGUCGGAUGUGAAAUCCCCGAGCUUAACUUGGGAAUUGCAUUCGAUACUGGUUAGCUAGAGUGUGGGAGAGGAUGGUAGAAUUCCAGGUGUAGCGGUGAAAUGCGUAGAGAUCUGGAGGAAUACCGAUGGCGAAGGCAGCCAUCUGGACUAACACUGACGCUGAGGUACGAAAGCAUGGGGAGCAAACAGG
This 430-nucleotide ribosomal RNA is filed under the name Pseudomonadota bacterium. RNAcentral's name for it is "Proteobacteria bacterium partial 16S ribosomal RNA". It matches the Rfam family "Bacterial small subunit ribosomal RNA", at positions 355 to 776 of the family's 1533-position model. The record is from RNAcentral. Lineage: Bacteria; Pseudomonadati; Pseudomonadota.